AAUGAAUCAAAACUUUCAACAACGGAUCUCUUGGUUCUGGCAUCGAUGAANAACGCAGCAA
RNAcentral lists this ribosomal RNA (61 nucleotides) under Balansia claviceps. RNAcentral's name for it is "partial 5.8S ribosomal RNA". The stretch from base 11 to 61 matches the Rfam family "5.8S ribosomal RNA", at positions 1 to 51 of the family's 154-position model. Rfam says of the family: 5.8S ribosomal RNA (5.8S rRNA) is a component of the large subunit of the eukaryotic ribosome. The record is from RNAcentral. Lineage: Eukaryota; Fungi; Ascomycota; Sordariomycetes; Hypocreales; Clavicipitaceae.